Long non-coding RNA from Uranotaenia lowii, 745 nucleotides. RefSeq lists it as uncharacterized. Lineage: Eukaryota; Metazoa; Arthropoda; Insecta; Diptera; Culicidae. The transcript is spliced from 3 exons. The record is from RefSeq and is a predicted model, not a curated record.
CUCAAAUGUCAAAACGCAUAACACUUUAGCAAAACAUUGAAGAAAAUCCUAAAAUUCCAGAGUUUGUGGAUAAAUUUACUAAUAUUGGAUAGGAUAAUAUGGUAAGAAAAUUUUCCCGGAAAAAGCAUAUUGUGGCAGCUUGCAGCGGUCUGGAAAGCCAACCUCAAGUACGAUUACUUCAAGUGCAGACUUUCAGAAUCAAGGAUAAGGAAAUUCUUGAGGAUUGUCAAGAAACCGCUCAUAAAGUUUUGAAGAGAUAUGCUCAGCCACAAAACCAAACGCCACGUCAACAUGCAUUCGAAUUACAUAAGCUAGAUAGUCUCACGCAACAGGCUCGCGUUUGAAGGGAAGCCUGAUUAUGAUGCUUCCCAAAUCCAAAAAGCAAUAGGAUAAAUAGAAGAAAUUGCCAAUAUAUCGCGACCAUCAUUGAGGUCGAUGCACGUGAUUCCAAAGCUCCUUUUCGGAUAUAAUUUUUCAAAGAAACAUAUAACUGCGUAAAGAAAACUUCAGCCUAGUGAGACGAUUGGGAUGAAUCAUCCUAUAGAAGAAAAAAAAACCGAGAAUGGGAAAAAACCACAACGACCAAAGAUGCAACCGUUUAUGUUUUGUUGGAGGUUCCGAUCGAUAGCAGAUAUCAAAUUAUUCAAAUGUUAGAAGAACGUUAAGAAAUCAAAAUCUUCGAAAAUUAUUGUAAUUGGUGGUUCAGAAAAAAGCUAGGAAAUCAACGAAGAACUCAUGUAAAUCA